GACGAACGCUGGCGGCGUGCCUAAUACAUGCAAGUCGAGCGAUCCUGCUUGCAGGAUAGCGGCGAACGGGUGAGUAACACGUGGGCAACCUGCCCCUAAGUCAGGGAUAACUCCGGGAAACCGGAGCUAAUACCAGAUAAUCUUUUUUCCUGCAUAGGAGAGAAGUAAAAGGCUUCGGCCGUUUAGGGAUGGGCCCGCGGCGCAUUAGCUAGUUGGUGGGGUAAUGGCCUACCAAGGCGACGAUGCGUAGCCGACCUGAGAGGGUGACCGGCCACAC
RNAcentral lists this ribosomal RNA (277 nucleotides) under uncultured bacterium. RNAcentral describes it as "partial 16S ribosomal RNA". It matches the Rfam family "Bacterial small subunit ribosomal RNA", at positions 28 to 313 of the family's 1533-position model. The record is from RNAcentral.